AGGACGAACGCUGGCGGCAUGCCUAACACAUGCAAGUCGAACGUGAUCCAGGCUUCGGCCUGGUGAAAGUGGCAGACGGGUGAGUAACGCGUGGGAACCUGCCCUGUGGUAGGGAAUAACCGUGGGAAACUGCGGCUAAUACCCUAUGAGUCCUUCGGGAGAAAGAUUUAUCGCCAUAGGAGGGGCCCGCGUCGGAUUAGGUAGUUGGUGGGGUAACGGCCUACCAAGCCUUCGAUCCGUAGCUGGUCUGAGAGGAUGAUCAGCCACACUGGGACUGAGAUACGGCCCAGACUCCUACGGGAGGCAGCAGUGGGGAAUAUUGGACAAUGGGGGCAACCCUGAUCCAGCAAUGCCGCGUGGAUGAUGAAGGCCUUGGGUUGUAAAGUCCUUUCGGCGGGAAGAUGAUGACGGUACCCGCAGAAGAACGCCCCGGCUAACUUCGUGCCAGCAGCCGC
This 455-nucleotide ribosomal RNA is filed under the name uncultured bacterium. Its description in RNAcentral is "SSU rRNA". It matches the Rfam family "Bacterial small subunit ribosomal RNA", at positions 26 to 518 of the family's 1533-position model. The record is from RNAcentral.